Molecule: long non-coding RNA, 914 nt
Filed under: Marmota monax (woodchuck)
Lineage: Eukaryota; Metazoa; Chordata; Mammalia; Rodentia; Sciuridae
Source: RNAcentral
AGAGGCCCUCCCCAUGGAGGCAGGGCGCAGAAACCAGGAUCUGGAGUGGGAAGGGGGAUUGCUCCACGCAGUGAAUUGCUCUUCACUGAUCUUCAUGAACCAUAAAAACCCCAGCUUCUGCAGAAGGGUGAAUUUCUUCAACCAGCCUUAUAAACUGCUUAAGUUUGUGCAGUUUUACUUCUUUUUGUGUUAAUGGUGUGUGCUCCCUCCCUUUUCCCUUCUCCUGGCCUUUUAGUCCUUCACUUCCAGUCUUGUGGAACGCUAUUUUAGGAGUAACGAAUUUUUAAAGAAGAAAAAACGAAAAGACUGAAUUUCCUUGCUUGCUUUGCAUAUACAGACUGGAAUUAAAAAAAAAAAGCCAUUUCCCCCAAAGGAAUGUGUCUUGCUUAUUACUGACAUUUGGUAUGUUUCAUUCAUUGGAAUAUUUCUUACUUGUUUUCUACGUGUUUCAAAGCCUGCGAGGAAUGAGGAUUUGAUAAGCACUUUGGAGGCAGGAAAAAUCCAAAUUGUUUAUUUUUUGAGACUUACGAUUACCUUCUGAUGUGGAAAAAUUGCCAUUGGAAAAUUUGACAUUUGAUUUCUCCCUGAUGUGGUUAAAAACUGAAUGAAAGGUGUUAAUAGAACUUUUUUCUUUUGAUAUGUGAUCACAAAAUAAUUCUAAAACCUACUGUUUUUACCAUUGAAAUUUAAACUGUGAGAUAGGUUUUAAGUGUCUAGAAUGCAAUUAAUAGGCUUUUCUUGAACUGUUAGAUUCUUUUGAAGUAGAGUUUUUUCAUAUUUCAUUUGUAUUUGUUUAAAAAAGAAGAAAAAUCCCCCUAACCAAAUAACAACCAGGGCAAAAACUGUUGUGCCUUCUAUUUAUCUUUGGUUUCAAUCUUGGCAGUUGUUUAAAGAAAAAAUAAUAAAAAGAAUUA